Molecule: ribosomal RNA, 687 nt
Filed under: Streptomyces sp. YIM 65314
Lineage: Bacteria; Bacillati; Actinomycetota; Actinomycetes; Kitasatosporales; Streptomycetaceae
Description: bacterial SSU rRNA
Rfam family: Bacterial small subunit ribosomal RNA
Source: RNAcentral
GCAGUCGAACGAUGAAGCCUUUCGGGGUGGAUUAGUGGCGAACGGGUGAGUAACACGUGGGCAAUCUGCCCUUCACUCUGGGACAAGCCCUGGAAACGGGGUCUAAUACCGGAUAAUACUUUCUCCUGCAUGGGAGAGGGUUGAAAGCUCCGGCGGUGAAGGAUGAGCCCGCGGCCUAUCAGCUUGUUGGUGGGGUGAUGGCCUACCAAGGCGACGACGGGUAGCCGGCCUGAGAGGGCGACCGGCCACACUGGGACUGAGACACGGCCCAGACUCCUACGGGAGGCAGCAGUGGGGAAUAUUGCACAAUGGGCGAAAGCCUGAUGCAGCGACGCCGCGUGAGGGAUGACGGCCUUCGGGUUGUAAACCUCUUUCAGCAGGGAAGAAGCGAGAGUGACGGUACCUGCAGAAGAAGCGCCGGCUAACUACGUGCCAGCAGCCGCGGUAAUACGUAGGGCGCAAGCGUUGUCCGGAAUUAUUGGGCGUAAAGAGCUCGUAGGCGGCUUGUCGCGUCGGAUGUGAAAGCCCGGGGCUUAACCCCGGGUCUGCAUUCGAUACGGGCAGGCUAGAGUGUGGUAGGGGAGAUCGGAAUUCCUGGUGUAGCGGUGAAAUGCGCAGAUAUCAGGAGGAACACCGGUGGCGAAGGCGGAUCUCUGGGCCAUUACUGACGCUGAGGAGCGAAAGCGU